UUGGUACAUCAUAUAAGAAAGAAAAUUUUUCUCAUCAAUCAUGUGGGAGGUUGCUGUUUGGGGUCUGGCAGCCUUCUAAUCCCCAAAAAAAAAAAUAUUUGAAAGGAAGAUCUGAGAGGCUUCAGGGAGGGAUCGGGGAUGCUUGCUACGCUGAAUGCGAUAGCCUUCCACUGCCAUUAAGAAAUGGAAAGAUUAAGAAGGCUACUAAUGAAAAAGAGG
RNAcentral lists this long non-coding RNA (219 nucleotides) under Elaeis guineensis (African oil palm). RNAcentral describes it as "long non-coding RNA (EGUI_LNC042102)". Lineage: Eukaryota; Viridiplantae; Streptophyta; Magnoliopsida; Arecales; Arecaceae. The record is from RNAcentral.